RNAcentral lists this long non-coding RNA (347 nucleotides) under Carica papaya (papaya). Its description in RNAcentral is "long non-coding RNA (CPAP_LNC005788)". The record is from RNAcentral. Lineage: Eukaryota; Viridiplantae; Streptophyta; Magnoliopsida; Brassicales; Caricaceae.
CAUGCCCCGCGAUCGGAUGGCCUGGAAGCGUUCUCGCGCGCGUGGACGGCCUAGAUCCAUUCCAUCCUCAGGCGCGAUCGGACGAUCGCAAUUAAACGCGAUGAACGAUCCAGAUUCGUUCACUCUUUAAACACGAUUGAACAGUUGAGAUCAAAUCGUGAUGAACGGUCCGUAUUCAUUUUUUCUUUAAACACAAUCGGACGAUCGAGAUCCAACGUGAUUAAUAACCUAAAGUAACGCGAGACGAGUAUAAAUAUUUCACAUAACACCGAACCCAAAACCCUAGUUACUAGCCUCCUACCAGAAAAGAAGAACCAGUUGCUGGAGAAGGGAGCCGACCGUCAUCC